GCAGUGUGCAGUCAAAGCUGUGGACAGGAUGCUUCUUGGAGCCAAAGGAGAGAUUUGUGCAGUACAGAACUGAAGUCAGUGGGAUAACAAAUGUUUGUACCGAACAACAGAAAAUGGAAAACAAACUGGGUUUCAUAUUUAAGAUUCUCCUGAUUCUUCACAGUCGCCCCCUCUUUGCUUUGAUAGCGGCUUUGCACCACUGGAGCUCCUCCAGCAGCUUGGAAGGAGUUCCCACGUCUGCAUGCCAAACCAUCUCAGCUUGGUUUAGUUCGGCUGUGUUAAAAGGAUUGUAGUGGUUUCUUUGCAGCGGUUCCACCAGGAAGGUUUCAUCCAAGUCUAUCCAUCUAUCUCACAUUCCUUUGAACUGCUGCAUGAUGGAGAGGAGGUGUUCGCUGCGUUUCUGGAUGUUGC
Maylandia zebra (zebra mbuna) is the source of this 411-nucleotide non-coding RNA. NCBI's taxonomy places the organism in Eukaryota, Metazoa, Chordata, Actinopteri, Cichliformes, Cichlidae. The record is from RefSeq and is a predicted model, not a curated record.